GGGGAUGACAGGAUUCGAUAGACGGAUCCGUUAUUCAUAUGUGCACCGAGGUUGUCUUAUCCUCGUAAAUCCUAGGACACAACGACAAUUGCAAAUAUUGUUAGUCGAGUAAAGAACGCUUUUGCUUCUGCAUUUAGCGCUCCAGCACUCGCAUCUGCAGUGGCGUAAAACCCACCGCUAUCGCACACAAGAUACUCAAUAUUGUGACCGCGGUAUCAACCUAUUGAGUGUAGGGUGAUUGCACUGUCUGUUGCAGCCACCUGAAAUAAUUACAGGCACCCGAUGUGCUAUUUUGCCAUUUUCUUAUACACGUCGGUAAACAAAAUGGCUAUGUAUGUAAGUCAUAUGUGUAACCCGCUCUAGACCCGAGUUCAAUUCUCGGCAUCUCCACAA
RNAcentral lists this transfer-messenger RNA (393 nucleotides) under Patescibacteria group. RNAcentral's name for it is "GCA-2716765 sp018661775 Standard tmRNA". It matches the Rfam family "transfer-messenger RNA". Rfam says of the family: Bacterial tmRNA, also known as 10Sa RNA or SsrA, is named for its dual tRNA and mRNA-like properties. Its role is to liberate the mRNA from a stalled ribosome. To accomplish this part of the tmRNA is used as a reading frame that ends in a translation stop signal. RNAcentral also lists the same sequence under 1 other name. The record is from RNAcentral.